Molecule: unclassified non-coding RNA, 332 nt
Filed under: soil metagenome
Description: partial contains 5.8S ribosomal RNA, internal transcribed spacer 2, and large subunit ribosomal RNA
Rfam family: 5.8S ribosomal RNA (bases 1-120)
Source: RNAcentral
GAUGAAGAACGCAGCGAAAUGCGAUAAGUAGUGUGAAUUGCAGAAUUCAGUGAAUCAACGAAUCUUUGAACGCACAUUGCGCCCUUUGGUAUUCCUUAGGGCAUGCCUGUUCGAGCGUCAUUUAAACCUUCAAGCUCAGCUUGGUGUUGGGUGACUGUCCGCUUCACCGCGGACUCGCCUCAAAAUUAUUGGCGGCCGGUACAUUGGCUUCGAGCGCAGCAGAAACGCGAACUCGGGCCCGUCGUAUUGGCUCCCAGAAGCUAUCUUCACAAUUUUGACCUCGGAUCAGGUAGGGAUACCCGCUGAACUUAAGCAUAUCAAUAAGCGGAGGA